Molecule: ribosomal RNA, 254 nt
Filed under: uncultured bacterium
Lineage: Bacteria
Description: partial 16S ribosomal RNA
Rfam family: Bacterial small subunit ribosomal RNA
Source: RNAcentral
UACGUAGGGGGCAAGCGUUGUUCGGAAUGACUGGGCGUAAAGGGUGCGUAGGCGGUGUAGCAAGUUAGAAGUGAAAUACCUAGAGCUUAGCUCAGGUGCUGCUUCUAAAACUGCUAUACUUGAGUGCAGUAGAGGAAAGUGGAAUUCCUAGUGUAGCGGUGGAAUGCGUAGAUAUUAGGAGGAACAUCAGUGGCGAAGGCGACUUUCUGGACUGCAACUGACGCUGAGGCGCGAAAGCGUGGGGAGCAAACAGG